RNAcentral lists this transfer RNA (5559 nucleotides) under Daphnia magna. RNAcentral's name for it is "uncharacterized LOC116920439, transcript variant X5". The stretch from base 4634 to 4706 matches the Rfam family "tRNA". Lineage: Eukaryota; Metazoa; Arthropoda; Branchiopoda; Diplostraca; Daphniidae. The record is from RNAcentral.
AUGGAUCCAAAGCGUUUAAACUGCGAAACGAGGAACUCUGUUCCGCACCGAGUUAAGCUUUUUAGUCGAAAAUCGUUUCGCGUGUCGCAUUUGCAUUUUAGGCCAUUCUCGAAACUAGUGCCACCGCAUUUUGUCGUGUCUGCCAUGCCGGUGUCAUCAUUUUUGCAUAGCUGUGAUUACCUCACCACUUCCAACUAACGGCUUUACACGUAGAACUAGGAACAGGCAAGCAUUUUGUAGUAGCCAUGGCUACGUUUGAUUUUGAAAACAACCAAAAUAUGUCAGAGAAAAUAUGCUAUUCUAAUUUGGAUUAGAGCAGACCCUGGUUAUCAGUUAUAAUUUCUUCUGCAUUCGGCUGUCUGCAGAUGGAUGCCGAAAUGACUAAGACCUUUCAUGAUGUCAGCCUAAGAUGCUAAAAACCGGGAAAGAGUCACGUGAAACUAGACACGACAGAAGGAAAAAAAAAAAAAGACGAUGGAUACAUAAAAAUAUUCUUAUCAGCUCUGAUCUAAAUGUCGACGAACCUUCAACGCAAACAAAUCAGAUCGUUAAAUAAAGCAAAUUUCUUUGUUUAGAAGGGUUUUGCCUUUAGUUUCCGGCAAGAGGAAAUAAACGAAUGCGAUGCUCGUUACUGUGCAGCCGGCGAAGAUGAAAAAUGUCACAUCGUUGCCCAAAUGGAUCAGCAUGUCGGGGAAGAAACGGACAAUCGCCAAGGUGACAAACAAAUUGAAAGAAGACGACAACGUUCCCAACAUGGUCCUAUACUGCGACGGGAACAUUUCGCCCAUGAUGAUCAAAGGGACGUUGCUCAUGCCGCCGGAGUAGGCGACAAAGAAAACGAUGAGGGAAACGAGCGGAACCCAGCCGAGAAGUUCCGUGGCCGUAGCUUCACCCCAAAUCCGCUGGAAGUAGAAGAAUGUUCCCAUGGAUGUCAGGGAGAUGGAUGUGACGGCAGCCGAACUCAACAGGAGAAUCCGUCGACCGUAGCGAUCCACCAGGAAUCCGGAAGCGAUGGUGAAGACCAGUUGAACACCACCGACGAUGAUGGUGGCGUAGCGACUCUCGAUGCUGCUUCCGGCCGACUGGAAGAUGCUGACGGUGUAAAAUACCAUGGCGUUGAUGCCGGUGGCUUGCUGGAAGAACAUGAUGCCCAGUGAAAUGCCGAACGGCUUUAAAACAGGAGCCGUCAUCAAAUCUGCGAAGCGGACGGAUCCUUUGCCGCUGUCCGUUUUCUCGUGGUGUUCCUUCAUCCGCCGCAUUUCCGCGUCCACUUGUUGAAGAGCUUGACGUCCCUCGUCUUCCAUUCCGUGAGUGAGCAGCCAAAUGGGAGUUUCGGGCAUGAAACAAGUCAAGAGCAGAAAGACGACGGGCAGAGCGCUGAAAAUGAAAGAUAAAGUGUCCCAUUCGACAAAGGCUCCGAUGAUGUAAGCCACCCAAAUUCCGAGAGCCAAAGAAGAGGCUGUUAUGGAACCCAACCGUCCGCGUAUGUUCGGUGACGAACAUUCGCUCACCUUAUCGUUCACAAGAUUCAACGGCCGGGGUCGUGCAUCCGACGGCGAGUCCUUGCAGUAUACGGCCAACGUACAACAUGGCUUUGUGCUUGCCGAAACAGGUGAGCCCCACGGUGAGAAAACCGAAUAUGUAAAGAAGAAAAUGACCAACCAGUGCUUUCUUACGACCGAAAUAUUGCAUCGGAAUGCUCACUACCAGAGCCCCAAAGAAAGAUCCACACAUGGGAACAGCAGCUAUACAGAAAGCGUCCUGUUGAGUGAUGGCAAUCCAGGAGAGCCCCAUCCUCUGGAUGUGCCCAUGCAAAAGUAACCCCAUGACCCGACCACGGCCGCCAUCAACUGCCACAUACAAUCAUUUUGGUAAAUGUAAUUUAUCAUUUUCUAUUGAAUGAACCCAUUGUUGGGCAAUUGCAAAAAUGUACAGUACCUGGGGUAAGACUUUGUGGGGGUUCUUCAUCAAACUCUGUUUCACCAUUUUCUUGCUUUUUGUUGGCGUAAUGAGUUUUUAAAAAAAAGCAGAAAAAAGCUCACUGAUGUAGUCAAUCGAAGGGCUUGUCGAAUCGCCUUGUCCGUUUGGCAACAGCUGUGGAGCUCGUGUGAUGACCGGAGAAGAUCCAGGCACAAAUAAUCGGAUGAUUGUGGAGAAUUCGUAGGGCGAACGCUUUCAUUUUAUAGGCAGCGUGGCUGCAAAUCAUUCUAGGAAAUUUAAGAUUCUUGAAAGGUUUGUUCUGUAUUUAAUGCUGGAUGUCGCAACGGUUUGCUGUUGGUGACUAUUAUGUUUUAGUUUGAGGGCUCGGUACCGUGAAGAAUACUGAUGCCAAUGGACUUUUUAACCUGAUUGAUAGGGCGCACGCGACUAGACAAUUAUAGUUAGUUGUUUAUUUACAAUUUCUAUCUUUGGGAAAACCUACCCACCACAAAAUGAUGGAUCUUGCUGAAAUAUUUGCGUUUGGCCGAUUUGUGACUGACUUUUUUUUUUUUUUUUAAAUUUAUCUCGUGAUCUUGAAAAGAUUAAAAUGUGAAUCCGUAGUCCACCGGCACGUAUACAUUGUUGCCCUCUGUGUAUCAACGCGUUUUUCCGGGCAGUAUUUUUGUUUUCGUUACGUUGCGCUGAGAUUUGCUGGGCAUGGAUCGAAGACCUGCACGUCGGUUUUUGCUUGAUGUGUUUUUGUAACAAGGUAGAGUGUUGCAAGAACUAGGAAUUCACAUUAGGGCAAAGCAUAACGGCUUGGUUGUCGCCUCUUUUUUCAGAAAGACGGUUUGUUAACUUGCUUUUAAUGUCAUAUUUGAUAUUAAUUUUAAGAAGUCUAGUAAAUAUGUUACCAGAUGGCGAUUCUAAACAUCCUCAUGAUCAAUGGAAUCUAUCUGUCGUGAGAUCAAUGGAUUUAGAAUUAUCUAAUCAAAAUCUCUUUCUACGUCGGUAAAAUCUAUUGCCCCAUAGAUUCCAGGAGGGCUCUAGUGUAAAGAUGUGCUACUGUCCCGUGGAUACCAGGUAGCGCCGAUGUGGUAAUUGUGUUAUACCUAUUAAUCUGGAAGGUAAAAUUGCUGGAUUAACGUGAAAAGCAAUUAUUUAUUAAAAAUCCGCGUUAGAUUUUGAUAGUUCCGUGUGAUUUUUGUCGAAUUUCAAGAGAUGUUAUUUUUUUCAGAUUUUGACAAAAGUGGGAAGGCUAUACCCUUCCCACUUUUUCAUUUUUGGCCAAAAUUUAAAUUUUUAUUAAAAUACUUGAUUUUGAUUCAAAAUCGAAUAAAAAUCGCGAAAAUCAAGUUUAUUAUUCCAGUGGUCCUAUAGUUUUUGAGCUAAACGUAAAAAAAAAAACUAAACAAAAAUAUAAUUGAACAGCGUAUGUUUUUGUAUAUUAAAAAAACUGCUCGUUUAACGAAAAAACCAGCAACUUAUUCGAAAUCAGCGUUCAACUUUGAUUCCGCAGUGGGAUUUUUGUCGUAUGUCGAUUGGCAAAAAAAAAAGUGGAUAGGAGACUGCUUUCGCAAUUUGGUCAAAAUCUGAAGAAAAGAAAAGAAAGACAUUUGUUGACAUUCGGCAAUGGCAAUGGCAAUACCGAAAUCGAACGCUGAUUUCGAUUAAGUUAUAGGUUUUCCCAUUAAACGAGCGAUUUUACCUUUCAAAUUAACUGGUACAGCACAAUCACCACUCCAGCGCCAUCUAGUAUCCGCGGAGCAAAAGCAAGUUUUGGCACUGGUACGCGUGUACCGCACCAGAGCUCCGUGGACUCCAGUAUUAGGUGUGACCUCCUUUUGACCUUUGUCGUCUGGUGGCCAUCUUGAAUUCUUGAUGCAUUACAAACUCGAGUGCAGGGCUUUGUGCAGUAUAUGUAGAAAAUCUAAUAAAAAUGUCCUCCAAUCCAAAUACAUCUCGAUAUUUUUUAGAAAAUGAGGGGUAUUCUUCUUGUUGACGUUUGGAAAUGUUUGGCUACUUUCUUUAAAGGAAGACAGUGCAGGUGAAUCAUCAAACUCUUGUGGCAAUUUUGACAACAACACCAGUCAGGUCAAGUUGGCAUAGCUCGAUUAGGACCUGCAGCUGGAAAUGGCAAUCGCCUUCGCCUGGAGACUCCCGAUCAGCGCCUUCCAGCCCAAAUGAAGUGGCGUGCCGUCAAAUUUUCCCAGAAAGACAUUGAAGAGAUUUUGCUUCAUCUUUAAAUGAAGAUAACAGUUAAGAAUUUGAUGGAUGUUUGUUGGAACUGGCGGAGAGUUCAAUUGACUUAACCAACAGGACCCCAGAUUUCCUAGUCAGAGUUCCAAGGCAGUUCUGUUGGCUUAAAAUGUUCAGCUGGAAGCGAACGUGUCUCGUCGGGAGUCAUUGGAACUCAAAAAUAUAAUAAAACCAGGGAGAGACUAAUGUGAUUCAACUGUAUUGAGCAUCACAGCGAGAAAACGAGCGUCUAAAUUCCCCUGCAAUACGUGCGACCUUAUCCAGAAGGCGACAGCAGGAUCGCGCAAUUCGUCAAGGAUAAUGCCAACCUCCUGUGCGGAUUUACGUAAAAAUCGGAUCCGGUGUUUGGAAUGGGAUUGGUUGCCUUGCCUCGACCAAAGAAGGUUUCAGUCGCCAGUUUUGGUUGCAUCGCAUUGACUGAUGCAUUGCUGAUGCUUCGGGACCAUUAACGUCAGCCUCUGUGGCCUAAUGGAUAAGGCACCGGCCUCCUAAGCCGGGGAUUGCGAGUUCGAGUCUCGCCAGAGGUACGGAUUGUAAUGCUAGCGAGCUGACAACCAAUACGUUUUCCUGAUUGAACAUCUUUUGGAAGCUGGUAAAGUGCUGGCUGGACCAGGUUUUGCACCCAAGCAGAACUUGUUGUGUGUCUUUCUUGAUGAGCUGGAGAGAACUCUGUUUUCCUACUUGAACACCUUUUGGAGUGUUUUCUUAACGCCUGGAAGUGGUUUCACCUCGGCCGUCCGGUUUACUCGUGUGGUUGUAUGGAACGGGACGGAAGCCGAUGCUGCGGAACACGGUACCACAUUUCUGCAGACGGGGACGGACUUCUUCACAGGAAUUUUAGGCUCCAGUUCCAAAAUCGGCCAUGUCAGAUACUCAGAAACAGCGGAGGAAUCGUGGCGAAUACGUUGAUCGGACAAAUGAACAACCGCCCGCCUUAACCAAAAUCUGGUGCUCGUUGAAAGACUGGCAGACACGUUUGGGACGGCGACUUUAGCGAUAAUCAUCGAAGAUGUUCUGGAAAGUGACGUCGCCCUCUCGACAAAUAAAAAGGAACAAUCGUUGGUGCAGAAACCAGAAGCAAGUCAAUCAAUUAGCGACCGUGUGCAACUUUAUACCAACAUAUUUGGAUGGCGUUGUGGACGGAUGCCAUGUAUUGCAAAAUUGCAACUGACAGAAAACAGUGGCAUUUGUGACGUGAUGUACAUAUACCAAUGUGAUAGUGACUGCCAGGUGACUUCUGGCAGGAAUGGCACGUGAAAGUAGCCAGCACUUUUGAUCGUCCAUCAUCGCCAAUUAGGAGACGUGGUAAAGUAUAUCGUAGUUAGCACUGCGUUAGUUUCGGAGAUUCAUGUUAAAGCAAUUACAUUUUGUACCAGGAAA